GAGGGUGUAGCUCAGUGGUAGGGCGCAUGCUUAGCAUGCCUGAGGUCCUGGGUCCAAUCCCCAGUGCCUCCA
Molecule: transfer RNA, 72 nt
Filed under: Camelus bactrianus (Bactrian camel)
Lineage: Eukaryota; Metazoa; Chordata; Mammalia; Artiodactyla; Camelidae
Also listed under: 1 other name
Rfam family: tRNA
About the family: Transfer RNA (tRNA) molecules are approximately 80 nucleotides in length. Their secondary structure includes four short double-helical elements and three loops (D, anti-codon, and T loops).
Source: Rfam by way of RNAcentral